Molecule: long non-coding RNA, 257 nt
Organism: Homo sapiens (human)
Lineage: Eukaryota; Metazoa; Chordata; Mammalia; Primates; Hominidae
Exons: 3
Source: RefSeq, a predicted model, not a curated record
CCCGGCUAGCAGUAACCACUGCUCCAAGGUGAAGACUUGACAGAAGCGCUUCUAACUCCUCCACGAGGUUCCCACUGGACUAGGGAGCGAGGGAAGCCCAGAGAAGGGGCCAUGAGGCUAUGGCGUGGACCAUGAUGUUACAGCAGUCCUUUUAUCCUAGGGAGAGCUCAGCCAGCCUCGUCCCAGACCACAGCUUCCAUGUCUGCCUCAUUGGGGUCCUGUGCAAAGACCUGCCAUGGACAUUUCCAGUUUCCCAG